AGAGUUUGAUCCUGGCUCAGGAUGAACGCUGGCGGCGUGCCUAAUACAUGCAAGUCGAACGAGGUGCUUGAGUAGCAAUACAAGAGUAUCCUAGUGGCGAACGGGUGAGUAACGCGUGGAUGACCUGCCCCAAAGUGUGGGAUAACAGUCCGAAAGGAUUGCUAAUACCUCAUGUGGUUGUUGGAUUUAGAAACUGACUACUAAAGCAGCAAUGCGCUUUGGGAGGGAUCUGCGUCCCAUCAGCUAGUUGGUGAGGUAACGGCUCACCAAGGCGACGACGGGUAGGGGACCUGAGAGGGUGGCCCCCCACAAUGGAACUGAAACACGGUCCAUACACCUACGGGUGGCAGCAGUAGGGAAUAUUGCUCAAUGGGCGAAAGCCUGAAGCAGCAACGCCGCGUGUGCGAUGAAGGCCUUCGGGCCGUAAAGCACUUUUCUGAGAGAUGAGAAAGGACAGUAUCUCAGGAAUAAGUCUCGGCUAACUACGUGCCAGCAGCCGCGGUAAAACGUAGGAGGCGAGCGUUAUCCGGAUUCACUGGGCGUAAAGCGCGUGCAGGCGGCUCGGUAAGUUGGGCGUGAAAUCUCCUGGCUUAACUAGGAGAGGUCGUUCAAUACUACCGGGCUUGAGAGUGGUAGAGGAAGAUGGAAUUCCAGGUGUAGUGGUGAAAUGCGUAGAUAUCUGGAGGAACACCAGUGGCGAAAGCGAUCUUCUGGACCGUUUCUGACGCUCAGACGCGAAAGCUAGGGUAGUAAACGGGAUUAGAGACCCCGGUAAUCCUAGCCGUAAACGAUGUAAACUUGGCGUCGGUGGCUUAAACUCCAUCGGUGCCGCAGCUAACGCGAUAAGUUUACCGCCUGGGGACUACGAUCGCAAGAUUAAAACUCAAAGGAAUUGACG
RNAcentral lists this ribosomal RNA (898 nucleotides) under uncultured bacterium. RNAcentral describes it as "bacterial SSU rRNA". It matches the Rfam family "Bacterial small subunit ribosomal RNA", at positions 8 to 915 of the family's 1533-position model. The record is from RNAcentral.